UACAGAGGUCCCAAGCGUUGUUCGGAUUCACUGGGCGUAAAGGGUGCGUAGGUGGCGGGGUAAGUCGGAUGUGAAAUCUCGGAGCUCAACUCCGAAAUGGCAUUGGAAACUACCCUGCUAGAGGGUCGGAGGGGGGACUGGAAUACUUGGUGUAGCAGUGAAGUGCGUAGAUAUCAAGUGGAACACCAGUGGCGAAGGCGAGUCCCUGGACGACUCCUGACACUGAGGCACGAAAGCUAGGGGAGCAAACAGG
RNAcentral lists this ribosomal RNA (253 nucleotides) under uncultured bacterium. RNAcentral's name for it is "partial 16S ribosomal RNA". It matches the Rfam family "Bacterial small subunit ribosomal RNA", at positions 524 to 776 of the family's 1533-position model. The record is from RNAcentral.